This 449-nucleotide ribosomal RNA is filed under the name uncultured bacterium. Its description in RNAcentral is "partial 16S ribosomal RNA". It matches the Rfam family "Bacterial small subunit ribosomal RNA", at positions 29 to 523 of the family's 1533-position model. The record is from RNAcentral.
AACGAACGCUGGCGGCAUGCCUAAUACAUGCAAGUCGAACGAGAUCUUCGGAUCUAGUGGCGCACGGGUGCGUAACGCGUGGGAAUCUGCCCUUGGGUUCGGAAUAACGUCGGGAAACUGACGCUAAUACCGGAUGAUGACGUAAGUCCAAAGAUUUAUCGCCCAAGGAUGAGCCCGCGUAGGAUUAGCUAGUUGGUAAGGUAAAGGCUUACCAAGGCGACGAUCCUUAGCUGGUCUGAGAGGAUGAUCAGCCACACUGGGACUGAGACACGGCCCAGACUCCUACGGGAGGCAGCAGUAGGGAAUAUUGGACAAUGGGCGCAAGCCUGAUCCAGCAAUGCCGCGUGAGUGAUGAAGGCCUUAGGGUUGUAAAGCUCUUUUACCCGGGAUGAUAAUGACAGUACCGGGAGAAUAAGCCCCGGCUAACUCCGUGCCAGCCGCCGCGGUAA